GCGUAGGCGGUUUAGCAAGUUGUAUGUGAAAGCCCUGGGCUCAACCUAGGAACUGCAUCCAAAACUACUAAGCUAGAGUACGAGAGAGGAGAGUAGAAUUUCUGGUGUAGCGGUGAAAUGCGUAGAUAUCAGAAGGAAUACCAAUGGCGAAGGCAGCUCUCUGGCUCGUCACUGACGCUGAGGUGCGAAAGCGUGGGUAGCAAACAGGAUUAGAUACCCUGGUAGUCCACGCCGUAAACGAUGACAACUAGCCGUUGGGCAGAUUUAACUGUUCAGUGGCACAGCUAACGCAUUAAGUUGUCCGCCUGGGGAGUACGGCCGCAAGGCUAAAACUCAAAUGAAUUGACGGGGGCCCGCACAAGUGGUGGAGCAUGUGGUUUAAUUCGAAGAUACGCGCAGAACCUUACCAACACUUGACAUGUUCGUCGCGAGCCUAAGAGAUUAGGCUUUUCAGUUCGGCUGGACGAAACACAGGUGCUGCAUGGCU
This 487-nucleotide ribosomal RNA is filed under the name uncultured Candidatus Portiera sp. Its description in RNAcentral is "bacterial SSU rRNA". It matches the Rfam family "Bacterial small subunit ribosomal RNA", at positions 569 to 1050 of the family's 1533-position model. The record is from RNAcentral. Lineage: Bacteria; Pseudomonadati; Pseudomonadota; Gammaproteobacteria; Johnevansiales (SeqCode); Johnevansiaceae (SeqCode).